UGAGGAAUUUUGCGCAAUGGGAGCAAUCCUGACGCAGCAACGCCGCGUGGGUGAUGAAGGCCUUCGGGUCGUAAAGCCCUGUCAGGUGGGAAGAAUGUCCCGGGACUGAACAGGUUUCGGGAGUGACGGUACCACCAGAGGAAGCACCGGCUAACUCCGUGCCAGCAGCCGCGGUAAUACGGAGGGUGCAAGCGUUAUUCGGAAUUACUGGGCGUAAAGCGCGUGUAGGCGGCCCUGCAAGUCUGAGGUGAAAGCCCCGGGCUUAACCCGGGAAGUGCAUUGGAAACGGAAGGUCUGGAGUACGGGAGAGGAGGGGGGAAUUCCCGGUGUAGAGGUGAAAUUCGUAGAGAUCGGGAGGAAUAUCAGUGGCGAAGGCGCCCAUCUGGACGGUAACUGAUGCUGAGACGCGAAAGCGUGGGGAGCAAACA
RNAcentral lists this ribosomal RNA (428 nucleotides) under uncultured prokaryote. RNAcentral describes it as "bacterial SSU rRNA". It matches the Rfam family "Bacterial small subunit ribosomal RNA", at positions 355 to 774 of the family's 1533-position model. The record is from RNAcentral.